UUUGCUAUUUUUCUCCCCUUGCAGAGCAGAAGGUUUGAGAUGUGGCUUCCAAGGGUGUGAUUUUAAAUUAAUGGAAUCAAAGUCAAAUGUUGUCAGUAGCUUAAAAACAUUUAUGAGAAGUUACCAAUGAAAUUCCAACCAUUCCUCCAAGGUGUGGCCCUGAGAACAUUUCUGCAAAGAAUGAGAACUCUGAGAGAAUUCCCUGUAUUCAUGGAACCAUGCUGCUGAGCCUUAUGGACACCACAGGUCCUUAACAAAGAACACAACUGGGUUUUUAAAGGAGUAGAGGACACAGGACACUGCGGGACACUCUCAGGGAGCACUGCAAGAGAGGGAGAACAGAGCUUUGGUGCUGCUCUGCACUUGAACAAGUCUCUAAGUCUGCCUGAUGGGUGAGGAAGAGGAGGCAGAGAUCCUUCCAGGCAGAGCCAGUGCCAUGGCUGAGCUGUGAUCCCCAGAGCCCACCGGUGCUGCUGCUGCCCUCAGAAUGAAAACCAGCAGUGUCUGGCUGUGUUAUUCAGUCCCUAGCUCUGCUGGAAGCAGGAACACCAAUCCAGAUAACACCCAAGACUUAGAGCUGAGAGCUGGAAGCCCAAAUGUUUGUGUUUUGUGAAGGGCCUGCUGUGGUCUGACAGCCCUCAGGUGACUCUUGGUUUGCUACUGCCACUGUAAUUACUUUUCCCCCUUGUUUACCCUGCUGCUGACAGCACUUUCCUGCACAUUCCACCUCCCAGCUUUGCCCAGGCAAGGUUCCUGACUGGGUGGGUUUCUCCUACACCAAGAGGAAAGCAGUCUGGGCCUGGUAUUGUGUUGCUGUGGAGCAAUGUCAGCUCAGGCCAGCAGCACAUCCUGUGUCCAAACCUCAGGCUGGGCUGGACCUACUGAGAGCUACAGAAUGGCCUGGGUGGGAAGGGACCUCCAAA
Molecule: non-coding RNA, 923 nt
Organism: Cyanistes caeruleus (blue tit)
Lineage: Eukaryota; Metazoa; Chordata; Aves; Passeriformes; Paridae
Source: RefSeq, a predicted model, not a curated record